GACGAACGCUGGCGGCGUGCUUAACACAUGCAAGUCGAACGGAAAGGCCUGCUUUCCCUUGUGGAUUGCGGGUACUCGAGUGGCGAACGGGUGAGUAACACGUGAGUGAUCUGCCCCCAGCUUGGGUAUAAGCCUGGGAAACUGGGUCUAAUUCCCGAUAGGACUGCAGGGUGGUGCCUGUGGUGGAAAACGAUUUUCUAGUGGUUGGGGAUGAGCUCGCGGCCUAUCAGCUUGUUGGUGGGGUAAUGGCCUACCAAGGCGGCGACGGGUAGCCGGCCUGAGAGGGUGGACGGCCACAUUGGGACUGAGAUACGGCCCAGACUCCUACGGGAGGCAGCAGUGGGGAAUAUUGCACAAUGGGCGGAAGCCUGAUGCAGCGACGCCGCGUGGGGGAUGACGGCCUUCGGGUUGUAAACUCCUUUCGACCGCGAGGAAGCCACCUGGUUGGAAGGGUGGUGACGGUAGUGGUAGAAGAAGCACCGGCUAACUACGUG
This 494-nucleotide ribosomal RNA is filed under the name uncultured bacterium. Its description in RNAcentral is "partial 16S ribosomal RNA". It matches the Rfam family "Bacterial small subunit ribosomal RNA", at positions 28 to 507 of the family's 1533-position model. The record is from RNAcentral.